RNAcentral lists this ribosomal RNA (138 nucleotides) under Triticum aestivum (bread wheat). RNAcentral's name for it is "partial small subunit ribosomal RNA". The record is from RNAcentral. Lineage: Eukaryota; Viridiplantae; Streptophyta; Magnoliopsida; Poales; Poaceae.
AUGAAGAUGAGGAUGUGUUCCUUCCCUUUGAGGGGAAAUACGUCUCCGUUGGAGCGGUGUGGAGGCACAAUGCUCCCCAAUAAGCCACUAGGGCCACCGUAUUCUCCUCACGCCCUCACACAAUGUGAGGUGUCGUGA